CAUAAAAAAAGACAAAGUCGUGCCAUUUGAGACAAUGUGGAUGGACCUUGAGGGCGUUAUGACCUGAUUUGCAGGCAUAAAUGUAUGUGCACGGACUGACCCAAGGCCUCGAGGUUUCCCCCAAAUGGGAAAACCCACAUCUGCUCUACAGACUGGGCUGCAGCGGGCGCUCGGAUGGGAAGGGCGUGGCCAUCUGUCUGGCCAUCUGUGAUGCCUUCAUGCAGGAGAUAAACAGCAUCGACCGUGCCUCAAAAGCUAAAGGACUCGCAUUGGUGGGCACCCUGGUGCCAUUUGCAGAAGAGGAAACUGGGACUCAGAGAUUCAGAUAACCUUCUCAAUCCUGAGGUGGUCAACACCCAAACCCCUCACUCCUCUGCUGCCUUAUUCCCUUAGCGAAGACCAUUAUGGUAACCUGGAGUUUUGGCUGCCCAAGAGCAGGGACCCAAAUGCUCAGAGUGGGGUUCCACCUCAGAUCUGUGUGCUUCCCUGUACAGCCCACCUUCCCCGACGUGUAAAGAUGCCUUACCAAGUUUCAUAAGAGCACCUUGUCUAUUGUAUGCUCCAGGAGGACCCUUUAAACCUCGGUUCACAGGUUUUAAAGUUGAUCUCCUUUGUCUGCAUCGGCAGCAGCAAAGACAACAUCAGUGUCAUCGAUGGAACAGCAGAGAUAUUUUCAAGGGCUCACUGUGUGCCUAAAACAGUCCUGGGUGCUGUGGAAAAUGCAGGGGUAAGGAAUAUACAGACCACACUUGCAAGGAAUGUGCAGCCUUCAUCAGACCUAAGAGGCGUGAGCGUACAGAAAAUGACGAGCAGUGACGCUAUGGGGACCAUUUCCCUCAUCAGAUGGACAAGAGAAUCAAGUCAGCUGCUCCUCCCCUUCAUUUGCAUAUUCCGCAGUUGCUCUGCUCAUUUCAGUAGCAAUGUUAAUUCUUUGGAUAUCUCAUUUCUCUAGGCACAGCCAUUUGCCAUGUUAUUUUUCUGACUGUUUCUAAUUAGAUACAUUUCUGAAGGACUUAUUCCUCACAACUAUGAUAUGAUCCAACAUGAGCUUGAGCUUCACUUUAUACUGCAGAAUUCUUCAGUACCUGAUAUAUUUUGUUGUGAGUUAUCUUUUUAAAAAAUUAUUUUAUUGAAGUCAUAUUGGCUUAUGGCAUUGUGUAGAUUCCAGGUGUACAUCAUUAUA
Long non-coding RNA from Equus quagga, 1183 nucleotides. RefSeq lists it as uncharacterized. Lineage: Eukaryota; Metazoa; Chordata; Mammalia; Perissodactyla; Equidae. The record is from RefSeq and is a predicted model, not a curated record. The transcript has 4 exons.